AACUGCCCUCAAGGAGCUUACAAUCUAGCUGGGGGUAAAUGACUUGCACAUGAACACAACUAGACUGUGAGCUUCUAGAGGGCAGGG
Molecule: microRNA precursor, 87 nt
Filed under: Pan troglodytes (chimpanzee)
Lineage: Eukaryota; Metazoa; Chordata; Mammalia; Primates; Hominidae
Description: microRNA ptr-mir-708 precursor
Gene: ptr-mir-708
Rfam family: mir-708 microRNA precursor family
Source: miRBase by way of RNAcentral